This is a long non-coding RNA of Lagopus muta (rock ptarmigan), 338 nucleotides long. RefSeq lists it as uncharacterized. The transcript has 3 exons. NCBI's taxonomy places the organism in Eukaryota, Metazoa, Chordata, Aves, Galliformes, Phasianidae. The record is from RefSeq and is a predicted model, not a curated record.
CAACUUAGGGGGCAGCCCCAUAGAUUCCCCCUAUAGGGUUGCAUGUGAGCCCCACAACUUAUGGGGCAGCCCCAUAGAUUCCCCCUAUAGGGUUGCAUGUGAGCCCCACAACUUAUGGGGCUGCCCCAUAGAUUCCCCCUAUAGAGCUGCUCAAGCCCCAUAACUUAUGGGGCAGCCCCAUAGAUUUCCCCUAUAGGGUUGCAUGUGAGCCCCACAACUUAUGGGGCUGCCCCAUAGAUUCCCCCUAUAGAGCUGCUCAAGCCCCACAACUUAUGGGGCUGCCCCAUAGAUUUCCCCUAUUGAGUUGCAUUUGAGCCCCACAACUUCUGGGGCUGCCC